This 464-nucleotide ribosomal RNA is filed under the name uncultured bacterium. RNAcentral's name for it is "partial 16S ribosomal RNA". It matches the Rfam family "Bacterial small subunit ribosomal RNA", at positions 28 to 507 of the family's 1533-position model. The record is from RNAcentral.
GACGAACGCUGGCGGCGUGCUUAACACAUGCAAGUCGAACGGAAAGGCCCAGCUUGCUGGGUGCUCGAGUGGCGAACGGGUGAGUAACACGUGGGUGAUCUGCCCCUAACUUCGGGAUAAGCUUGGGAAACUGGGUCUAAUACCGGAUAGGACAAUCGUUUAGUGUCGGUUGUGGAAAGUUUUUUCGGUUAGGGAUGAGCCCGCGGCCUAUCAGCUUGUUGGUGGGGUAAUGGCCUACCAAGGCGUCGACGGGUAGCCGGCCUGAGAGGGUGGACGGCCACAUUGGGACUGAGAUACGGCCCAGACUCCUACGGGAGGCAGCAGUGGGGAAUAUUGCACAAUGGGCGCAAGCCUGAUGCAGCGACGCCGCGUGGGGGACGACGGCCUUCGGGUUGUAAACCUCUUUCGACAGGGACGAAGCUUUGGUGACGGUACCUGUAUAAGAAGCACCGGCUAACUACGUG